Beta vulgaris subsp. vulgaris (sugar beet) is the source of this 679-nucleotide long non-coding RNA. RefSeq lists it as uncharacterized. The record is from RefSeq and is a predicted model, not a curated record. The transcript has 2 exons. NCBI's taxonomy places the organism in Eukaryota, Viridiplantae, Streptophyta, Magnoliopsida, Caryophyllales, Amaranthaceae.
UUCAAUUCGUUCGAAAUAUUGCAUGCAAUUGACUAAGUCUUGUGUUCAUAUUACAAGUGGAUCAAUAAUUUUAUUAAAAUAUUGACACAAAAGUAGAAGGAUCCACUAUAUAAACUCUUAGACCAUUUCACCCAUUUCCUCACAACUCACAAGUACAUUUUCUAAUUUGCAAGAGCAAAAUAAUCAAACUAAGCAAAAAGAAAACCAAAAUGGCCAAGGCUACUAACUUCAACCUUUUUGCCUUAUGUCUCCUAUUCAUCGUUAUUGCUAACGCUGGAAUCCAAAUGACUGAAGCACAGAGCUGUGGAUGGGCAAAUACUCGUGAUUGUUGUUACAGGUGCGGCCACAAAUGCUUGAACUACUGGGGAGGGUCUCGCCCUACCACUGGAGAUCACUGGCAAUGCAGAAAUGGAAACUGCUGGUGUUACUAUGGCCAGUGCUAAGCAUAAUACACUGAUAUGCAUGCAAAUCCCCUUUACAAAAUGACGACUAAUAAUAUAAUGUUAAUGUAUGUGUUAUUAUAGUAUAUAAGUAUGUAUAAUAAAAAGAAUGUAAUAAACCUAUAUGGUAAAACUACUCUUGCUGCUUAUUGUUAUGUUAUGUAUGAUAAUACUAAUAAGGUUAUAAUUAAAGACGUAUGUGUGAAUCAAUAAAACUUGGUCUUUGUUGUGUCAUGGUA